UUGUCUUUUUGCAACUUAACAGUUGCAAGUGGUCAAUGUGAACUAUUGUUGUACUGUAUAGAUAAGUUUUUUUCAGUUUUUGGUGAACUUUUCCUUUAACGUUGAUGUACAGUAUCAAGCGUGUCCAGACUCUGCAAUGAGCUGUAAUGUAAUGAGGUGGAAAUUGCUUGUUUUCACUUUUUUACCUUCCAUUAAGGACCAAUAUGAGGAGACAUGCCUGAAAUCUCCCAAUCGUUCAGUACGUCAUUCACAAAUUGGAAUUUUUUCCUCCCUACAUCAACAUCAGUUUAGUGCAACAUCAUCCCAAGGUAACAUGUGAACUGAAGAGGGAGUCUGUGGCAACAAUUCCUAUAUCAUCACAUACAUCAAAAAUCAACCACAAAGUGCCGUAACAGAUGAAGGGUCUGAAAUCACAUUUUUAAUAAUGUCAGCAUUUUAUACAUGUAUUCAGUCACUUUGAAAUGUUGUUCAAAAUUACCAUUAAAAGAAAAAAAUGUUUCUCGGUUGUGGGUGAACUCGAAAAUGUAUUAAAGUGAAUGGGGCAUGUCUCGCACAGUAAUAAUAGUACCUGGUAGGAACAAAAAUAUAUUUUAUUAGAAAACGGGAAGCAAAACACAGUUUCAUGGCUGGUGAGAAAUAUUUACAACCAUUGACAGGUUGCAAAUAAUUCAGUUUAGACCCCGACUGUGACUACAACAAAUGUUGACUUUCUGCAGCAUAAACAACAAACUUGAAAAGAGCAGAGAAGGGCCAUGGUACAAGAGUUUAAAAAGCUUGGCAGAAGAUGAACAGCUAGCAGGUCAAAGGUGAAGGUGUUAACUGCAUGAAAGCAAUGAAAGAACACUUCUUCAAAGACCCGCACAUAAAUACGCAUGGUCUUAAAUAUUCAUGAUAUAACGGUGCUACCAUUUUCAUCUGCCAAAAAUGAACUGGAGAGAUUAAAUUGGAGCAGAAGAAGCUAAAGAUGAAGAAAAGAGGAUGAGGGAAAAUGCUGGGUCGUCGCCUUGAAUGCAUGCUGAUUUCGACUACAAUUAUGAGUGGAGUGGACAUGCUGUGGAAGGCUGGUAGCAGCUAUAAGUACCUGAGCCCCGAAGCAGCAACUUAAAACCAGGAAACAAAGGCAGCACGCAGCACCUAGAGAGCGGUUGCGAGGAUAAAGCGGACCAUGGCUGGAUGUGUCAGUGCGGAGAUGAAGGUGCAGCAAGGGGGAAGUGGAGAAUUGGAAAAAGCGAGACCAGGAACGUGCAGCUCAGUGAGGUUCAGUGUUGGGGGUAACGCAUUACAAGUAACGUGAACUACGUAAUAAUAUUACUUCUUUGAAUUAACGAGUAAAGUAACGCAUUACUUUAAAAAUGUACACUUUAAUAUUUGAGUUACUUUUUCAAAAAAGUAAUGUUACCUUUCAGUUUAAUUAAUUCGAUUUAAAAAAAAAAUAAUGUACUGAAUUAAACUGAACAUAGUCAUGUAUAAUUACGUACUCUGUGUGCGCACGUGAG
Misgurnus anguillicaudatus (oriental weatherfish) is the source of this 1496-nucleotide long non-coding RNA. RefSeq lists it as uncharacterized. The record is from RefSeq and is a predicted model, not a curated record. NCBI's taxonomy places the organism in Eukaryota, Metazoa, Chordata, Actinopteri, Cypriniformes, Cobitidae.